AAGCACCUCUGUGGCCCAGCAAUUUUGUUAGUCCGGCAAUCAAUAGUACCCAGUGCGCGCUUGGUACUGUUAAGUUUUUUUUUUUUUUCGCCGAGACCACUAUUAUUCGAAACCGCACAUUUUUUUAUCCAAUGAUCGAAAAUCUAAUAGUACAAAGUGCUUUAUACUAUUAAUAGCCUAGAGUUCGUUUCGAAUUACAGGAAGAUUGCAUUAUAUAUGGUGAGAAAAUUUAUUUGUUUCCGCAUAAUAUUGCAUUUCGCAUAUCGCGAUAAGUCGGUUACGAUAUAUUUUUUGUGAUCCCACCGAAAAACGCAGAAAUAUAUUCCUAUAUGCUUUUAUCCCAAUUUUAUUUUAUCUAAUAGCGUUAGAUAGAUCUCAAUACAAAACUAAGCGCUAAUAUACUAUUAAUAGUACCAAACGUUUUGUUCUAUUAGGUUUUCGAACCCUAAAUGGAGAGACAUGCGGCUAGGAUGAUAGUAAUUUUCUAAGAUUUAGUGGGUAGUUAAUUGAAUAGUAUGAUCUAACAUAUAAAAAUGAUCAAAAGAAUAAAUCUAACGGCGGAAAAUUUAAUAGAACCAAAUGCUGGGUGCUACCAUCAAUAGUAAAGUAACCGGACUCUACAAAUUGUAUGAUAUUUGGCAUAAAAAUUUACAAAAAAUUUAUAUUUUCACAAAACCUGAUCACCUUGUAUGAUGUUAUACACCAAACCUUUUUUAAAACUGAUCAAAAUAUUCCUACUCUCUCUCCUCGCCCUCCUCCUCCACCGUCUACACGUCACUGCCACACUCGACCCCAUACCUCACUCACAUCGCCACUACUGCUGACGGCGACGGCGCGGGCUCUAACGCCGCACGGGAUGUGAAGGUGAGGGUGUGGGUAGCUGCACAGUUCGAGACGACGGGACGCGGCAGGGUGCCGGAGCGAGAUGAGGUGAGUAGGCUGGGCAUGCUGUUUCG
Molecule: long non-coding RNA, 956 nt
Filed under: Ananas comosus (pineapple)
Lineage: Eukaryota; Viridiplantae; Streptophyta; Magnoliopsida; Poales; Bromeliaceae
Description: long non-coding RNA (ACOM_LNC030947)
Source: RNAcentral